This 1016-nucleotide long non-coding RNA is filed under the name Serinus canaria (Common canary). Its description in RNAcentral is "lncRNA (ENSSCAG00000005832.1)". Lineage: Eukaryota; Metazoa; Chordata; Aves; Passeriformes; Fringillidae. The record is from RNAcentral.
GGGACGAGGGGACAGGGGGAGGCGGGGGGAGGAGAUGGCAGCCCCAGGCUCCCGAAAACGCAGAUGCAUUAGAGCAAGCCGAGCUGCCUGAUUGAUUCUUCGGGCUGAGACGUGGGCUGGGAGUGCCAGGAGAAAAUGGAUCCCAUGAAUAUUUGAUGAACGGAGGCUUGGGGAGGGAGUUUGAUUGGAAAAUUACAGAUCUUUCAAACAAUGGUUCAAGUGCCCUCCAAACACUUGGGUUUCCAGCUCCUUUCCAGUUAGAGGAGCAAGGCUCCACCAGGAAACUCCCCCCACGAUUCAUGAAUGAGAGUGGAGCCGGCUGCUCCCCACCCCCAGGGGCACUGGCUGGCCAGGACAGGCAGUGCUGGCACUGGCCAGGAUGUGGCACCUGUCCCCUGUCACCAGCCAUCCCUGGGUUCCUGUGUGCCAGCAUGGCUGUCCCACAGCAAUGCCAUGAACACAGACACACGAGAUGUUCCAAGGAGCCAGCAGGAAGGUGGAUCAAGGCACGGGCACCCCUGGGAGCCCUGACACCCUACAGGGAGCUCAGUCCUCGGCACCAAGCCCAGGGGCUGGGCCCAACCCAGGAAACCUGUCUGGGGCAGGAUCCACCUGGCUCCUCUCCUUCCUCCAGGCUCAUCCUUGCCCCUGAGAGUGGCUCCUGUCUGGGACCUGGGGGCUGCUUGUCUCAGGAUGCACUGAAGAGAUGCAGGAAUCUGGGUUGUGCCUCAGCCCCAGCCCUGGCGCCUCCACUCAGCCCUGUCCCAGGGCACCUCCUCGGCUUUCCUGGGGCUCCUCCACUGCUGGAAGCCCAGCUCAGCUCCCAGCACAGCUCCCAGCUCAGCUCCCAGCCCAGCUGCAGCCCCAUGAACCCCCACCCCCCUGGGGAAAGGGGAUGUUUCUGGCCAGGAAGCAGGAACACCAACAGCAGCAGCUUCCCAGGAAACCUGCUCCAGUUCCUCCCAGUUCCUCCCAGCAAGGCAGGUCUGGCUGAGAGGCCCUGUCAUGCAGCUGAG